UUUUGGACAAUGGGCGCAAGCCUGAUCCAGCAAUGCCGCGUGAGUGAAGAAGGCCUUCGGGUUGUAAAGCUCUUUUGUCAGGGAAGAAACGGUGAGCUCUAAUACAGUUUGCUAAUGACGGUACCUGAAGAAUAAGCACCGGCUAACUACGUGCCAGCAGCCGCGGUAAUACGUAGGGUGCAAGCGUUAAUCGGAAUUACUGGGCGUAAAGCGUGCGCAGGCGGUUAUAUAAGACAGUUGUGAAAUCCCCGAGCUCAACCUGGGAAUUGCAUCUGUGACUGUAUAGCUAGAGUACGGUAGAGGGGGAUGGAAUUCCGCGUGUAGCAGUGAAAUGCGUAGAUAUUCGGAGGAACACCGAUGGCGAAGGCAAUCCCCUGGACCUAUACUGACGCUCAUCACGGA
Molecule: ribosomal RNA, 402 nt
Filed under: uncultured bacterium
Lineage: Bacteria
Description: bacterial SSU rRNA
Rfam family: Bacterial small subunit ribosomal RNA
Source: RNAcentral